This 861-nucleotide long non-coding RNA is filed under the name Lathyrus oleraceus (garden pea). Its description in RNAcentral is "Pisum sativum (pea) long non-coding RNA (PSAT_LNC030776)". The record is from RNAcentral. Lineage: Eukaryota; Viridiplantae; Streptophyta; Magnoliopsida; Fabales; Fabaceae.
UAAAUUCAUCCAAUUUCCUUCAUAUUCACUAAAAGUUCAACAUAUGCACAUGCAAGUGAAUUCACAUACAUCUAUGCUUUAACCACCCUAACUAACUUAAACUUCAACAAACUAACUUCUAACUACUUUGGGCAAUUUCCCAAAUUGUCCAAAACAGUUCUAAAUAAUUUCUAACCAAUUAUCAACCUCUAAUCAUCCCUCACCUAGUUCUAUAUAAGCAUUCAUCAUUCACUCACUAAGGGGCUUUUUCUUUAUUUUUUGAUACUACUCAUUCUUCACUUUCUCUCAAGGUUUCACUCUCCAUUCUUCAUUCUUCAACCUUCCCUUACUAGAGCUCAAAUCCAUGGUUGUUGAAGCUUCACAUUGAAACUUCAAUCAACUUGAGCAUAAACCCUCACCAUACUUCAUCUCAUAGUUUUUCAUGAUUCAAGCACCAAAAAAUCAACAACAACAAGAAAGCAAAUGAAAGAAAAGAAAGGGGAUGAAGAAGAAAUAAAUACAAAUUGAAGAAUUGCUUACCAUAUUGAAUUGACGGCGCCACUGAAGAACCAUCAAAGGAUCUCCGAUCGAUAAGCCUCAAACUUUUUUUAUCACUCCAUGAAUGCUUGCUCUUUUGUGCCUUCUAUACUUGGUUGCUUGUUUGAGUUAUCUUUGUAUGCUUGUUUAUGUAUUUUCCUUUCUUUUCAUCUUGUGUGGACGACUACCGUGAGAAUCCAAGCCUUGCCAUGAACACAAACUAUAGAAAAUUUCAGCAUCUUGGCAAUACCAAAACUUGACCUCCAUCGUCACCAAAUUCAACUUUCAUCAAAUUCACCAUAAACCAAAAGGAACCGCCAAAAAAUCAUUACUAAACCAUAUUCC